UACAGAGGUGGCAAGCGUUGUUCGGAAUUACUGGGCGUAAAGGGCGCGUAGGCGGUCUUGUAAGUCUUGUGUGAAAUCCCUCGGCUUAACUGAGGAACUGCACGGGAUACUGCGAGACUUGAGAUCGGGAGAGGGAAGCGGAAUUCCGGGUGUAGCGGUGAAAUGCGUAGAUAUCCGGGGGAACACCGGUGGCGAAGGCGGCUUCCUGGACCGACACUGACGCUGAGGCGCGAAAGCUAGGGGAGCAAACGGG
This 253-nucleotide ribosomal RNA is filed under the name uncultured bacterium. RNAcentral's name for it is "partial 16S ribosomal RNA". It matches the Rfam family "Bacterial small subunit ribosomal RNA", at positions 524 to 776 of the family's 1533-position model. The record is from RNAcentral.